This 301-nucleotide ribosomal RNA is filed under the name uncultured bacterium. Its description in RNAcentral is "partial 16S ribosomal RNA". It matches the Rfam family "Bacterial small subunit ribosomal RNA", at positions 509 to 807 of the family's 1533-position model. The record is from RNAcentral.
CAGCAGCCACGGUAAAACGAAGGGUGCAAGCGUUAAUCGGAAUUACUGGGCGUAAAGCGUGCGUAGGCGGUUUGUUAAGACAGAUGUGGAAUCCCCGGGCUCAACCUGGGAACUGCAUUUGUGACUGGCAGGCUAGAGUAUGGCAGAGGGGGGUGGAAUUCCGCGUGUAGCAGUGAAAUGCGUAGAUAUGCGGAGGAACACCGAUGGCGAAGGCAGCCCCCUGGGCCAAUACUGACGCUCAUGCACGAAAGCGUGGGGAGCAAACAGGAUUAGAGACCCGCGUAGUCCCUGUCUCUUAUAC